GCUGCAAAGAAGAAAGGCCCAUUGACCUCAUUGCUAUCCAAAUUGUCUGCUAAGUUGAAAGGCCGGCCGGUCGAGCCUCCAGAGACACCAUCAACUUCACCGUCCUUAAUAAAUAAUAAGCUUGUACUGAAAGUUAUUUUGGUAGCUGGUAUAGCUGCUGGAUGGCAGUAUUACUUCAGAUGAGCACACGGGAGCAAGCUCAAAAACCAUUUUCUUCUUUCAAUCUGAAUGGAAAACAUGAUAGAACUAGGAUUAGUUAGAAGAGUGACUUGACCUUAUUUAUAUUUUGUAUUGUAUCCAAUUUUGUAUCAUUGAAUUAUUGAUUAAUCAAACUCCUUCAAAUAUGAUGUAGAUGAAAGUCUGAUAUAUAUAUAUAUAUAUAUAUAUAUAAAGAUGCAAAAGAAUCAACAUUCCAUGAUGGCUACACAUUUACAGUAGUGUAAAAAGGGUUUUCACUAGCGGCUAAAUAUUUUAGACGAGAUAAUUAAUAUGUUAUUUCAAGUCUUUUGCUGUUGAUUUAUGAAGAACUGUGCAUGUAUCUUUUGUUAAAAACGAAUGUAGUAGUCUUGUUGAAUGCAAGUUAAAUGGCGCAUUUGAAAUGUUAAACAAGUGACCAGUUACCCAUUUUAUGAAAAUAGUCAUUUGCCGUACAACAUAUUGCAAACAUUGAAGAAGUGUCGACAAGGAACAAUAAAAUGGUAAAUGACAUUCUUCGAAAAAGAUCAGAGAAUAUUAUUAUUUUAAUCCUCACCCUCUACUAAUAAUAAAUAUCAUUAUAUUUUAUGUUGAAUUCUUUAAAUUGUUUAAUCUUGUGUGCUAAUUGUUAUUUAAACCUUUUAGGUUUAGAUAAAUGAAUAAAGUCAUGUUGUCAAAAGAAAUUGUUCAUCUGAUUGAUCGAUUCUUACAAAGUGCAUGGCUCCGUGUGAAUUAAAUAAUACCCGACCAUUUGAGGUGUGAGUAUUCAGUCGUCAAGAGUGUCAACAGUUGUGUUCGUGUAGCAUGAUGCUUCAAUUUAUUUUUAUUUUUUUGUUAUUUGUUGAUUUUUUUUUCCCUGGAGAAAGGUAUAUAAACAGAAAAUUCAAAAUUCUGAGAAGUACCCAGAAAAAGGGUAAAGAAUCAGCAUCUGCAAACUUCCAACGGCGGUCUCUUCUGCGACAUUCGAGGCCUUUCCUCAAGCGCGUUAAGCAAGAAACUCAACUACAUUUAUUCCAAUACUUCCUAUUCCAAAUUCACGAAAGAGUUCAUCGUGGGAUUUCUACAAACAAAAAAGGUUUGAUCUCUCCUUCUUUUUCACAUUUUUGUCAUCUGGGCCUUUUGUUUUGCCUUGUUUUUCUUUCUAGCAAGAGUUAUGUGGCUUAUUUUGUUUGAUUUGAAAUUAUGCACGUUUUCUGUUUGAUGACAAAUUAAUUUCUAAUUGAUGUGAUGAUGUCUUCAGUUUGUCUUUUUAUAUUAUCUUUCCAUGCAAUGCAUAUAUUUAUUAUUUAUUAUUUAUUUUUUAAAUUCCAGGUUAUGUUUGUUUACAAUAGAGGGAAGAUGAUAGUAUAUUCUGGACAUUUAAAGGUGAAAAGGAAAUGUAAUAGCUUGGUAUUGCUAUGUAAUUAACAAGGGAAAGGCCCAAGAAAUUGGAUAAGUAAACUGCUGAAGUACUUUUUGAAAAAAAAUAAAAAAAAUGAUUGAUACUUUAGACAAAUUAUUAAAGAGAAAUCCAACUAUAGAAGUACUUUUCAUGUAGUGCAUCAUGAACCAUUUUUGUGUCAAUCGCGGCUCAGACCCCUUCAUUCCCGAAAACUGAUCAAUUCUAAUACUCUACAAAAGGACCAGUCUGGUGCUGAAUUUUGCUGUUUAUCUAUUUCAUAUUCAUGUGCUCUCUGUCUAUUAGCCUUUCAGACUAAUACUGUCGCCCCAUCUUAAUGCAUGCUGAUCUUUUUUGCUCGCAGCUGCAAAGAAGAAAGGCCCAUUGACCUCAUUGCUAUCCAAAUUGUCUGCUAAGUUGAAAGGCCGGCCGGUCGAGCCUCCAGAGACACCAUCAACUUCACCGUCCUUAAUAAAUAAUAAGCUUGUACUGAAAGUUAUUUUGGUAGCUGGUAUAGCUGCUGGAUGGCAGUAUUACUUCAGAUGAGCACACGGGAGCAAGCUCAAAAACCAUUUUCUUCUUUCAAUCUGAAUGGAAAACAUGAUAGAACUAGGAUUAGUUAGAAGAGUGACUUGACCUUAUUUAUAUUUUGUAUUGUAUCCAAUUUUGUAUCAUUGAAUUAUUGAUUAAUCAAACUCCUUCAAAUAUGAUGUAGAUGAAAGUCUGAUAUAUAUAUAUAUAUAUAUAUAUAUAAAGAUGCAAAAGAAUCAACAUUCCAU
RNAcentral lists this long non-coding RNA (2352 nucleotides) under Olea europaea (common olive). RNAcentral's name for it is "long non-coding RNA (OEUR_LNC004239)". Lineage: Eukaryota; Viridiplantae; Streptophyta; Magnoliopsida; Lamiales; Oleaceae. The record is from RNAcentral.